UCAUGGCUCAGGUGAAGUCGUAACAAGGUAACCGAUCCAGAGUUUGAUUAUGUCUCAGGUGAUGUCGUGACUGUGAAACUGGGAUAACUCCGGGAAACCGGGGCUAAUACCGGAUGGUUGUUUGAACCGCAUGGUUCAAACAUAAAAGGUGGCUUCGGCUACCACUUACAGAUGGACCCGCGGCGCAUUAGCUAGUUGGUGAGGUAACGGCUCACCAAGGCGACGAUGCGUAGCCGACCUGAGAGGGUGAUCGGCCACACUGGGACUGAGACACGGCCCAGACUCCUACGGGAGGCAGCAGUAGGGAAUCUUCCGCAAUGGACGAAAGUCUGACGGAGCAACGCCGCGUGAGUGAUGAAGGUUUUCGGAUCGUAAAGCUCUGUUGUUAGGGAAGAACAAGUACCGUUCGAAUAGGGCGGUACCUUGACGGUACCUAACCAGAAAGCCACGGCUAACUACGUGCCAGCAGCCGCGGUAAUACGUAGGUGGCAAGCGUUGUCCGGAAUUAUUGGGCGUAAAGGGCUCGCAGGCGGUUUCUUAAGUCUGAUGUGAAAGCCCCCGGCUCAACCGGGGAGGGUCAUUGGAAACUGGGGAACUUGAGUGCAGAAGAGGAGAGUGGAAUUCCACGUGUAGCGGUGAAAUGCGUAGAGAUGUGGAGGAACACCAGUGGCGAAGGCGACUCUCUGGUCUGUAACUGACGCUGAGGAGCGAAAGCGUGGGGAGCGAACAGGAUUAGAUACCCUGGUAGUCCACGCCGUAAACGAUGAGUGCUAAGUGUUAGGGGGUUUCCGCCCCUUAGUGCUGCAGCUAACGCAUUAAGCACUCCGCCUGGGGAGUACGGUCGCAAGACUGAAACUCAAGGAAUUGACGGGGGCCCGCACAAGCGGUGGAGCAUGUGGUUUAAUUCGAAGCAACGCGAAGACCUUACCAGGUCUUGACAUCCUCUGACAUCCUAGAGAUAGGACGUCCCCUUCGGGGCA
Molecule: ribosomal RNA, 980 nt
Filed under: Bacillus sp. RCPTM1
Lineage: Bacteria; Bacillati; Bacillota; Bacilli; Caryophanales; Bacillaceae
Description: bacterial SSU rRNA
Rfam family: Bacterial small subunit ribosomal RNA
Source: RNAcentral